This 661-nucleotide unclassified non-coding RNA is filed under the name Arthroderma quadrifidum. RNAcentral describes it as "sequence contains 18S rRNA gene, ITS1, 5.8S rRNA gene, ITS2, 28S rRNA gene". The stretch from base 287 to 440 matches the Rfam family "5.8S ribosomal RNA". Lineage: Eukaryota; Fungi; Ascomycota; Eurotiomycetes; Onygenales; Arthrodermataceae. The record is from RNAcentral.
UCGUAACAAGGUUUCCGUAGGUGAACCUGCGGAAGGAUCAUUAAAGCGUUGCCGACGUCGGCCCCGGCCGUUCGGCUUGAAAUAUAGCCUGGACGGUGCUGGAGGUCGCCGGCAGUUGCCCAUUCUUGCCUACUGACCCAGUUGCCUCGGCGAGCCGUGCCACUCGUGGCAGACCGGAAGCCGUUUGAACCCCUAGGGCUCAGGCGGCCCUGGCCAGUGCCCGCCGACGGACAGACUUAAAAUCUUUAUAUAUUGGCCGUCUGAGCGUAUAAAGCAAAUCAAUUAAAACUUUCAACAACGGAUCUCUUGGUUCCGGCAUCGAUGAAGAACGCAGCGAAAUGCGAUAAGUAAUGUGAAUUGCAGAAUUCCGUGAAUCAUCGAAUCUUUGAACGCACAUUGCGCCCCCUGGUAUUCCGGGGGGCAUGCCUGUUCGAGCGUCAUUGCAACCCUCAAGCUCGGCUUGUGUGAUGGGCGACCGUCCUUCCCCUAGGGGCGGGACGCGUCCGAAAAGCAGUGGCUAGGCCGCGAUUCCGGCGCCUGAGCGAAUGGGACUUCCACCGCUUCUAGGACCGGCCGGCACUUGGCCUUUAAACACGGUCUUAACUGACCAUCUAGGUUGACCUCGGAUCAGGUAGGGAUACCCGCUGAACCUAAGCAUAUC